GCACAAAAGAGGGUCUAAUGGGCGGAGGUUAGGAGUAGUAUAAACUGGUUCUGCAGGGAUGUGGCAUUCCCUGCAUCGUUGCAUAGACCUCCAUACCCUGAUAAGGUGAACAGAUAUAUUAAGCUUUUUUUGCAGAAGUGAUAAGAAUGAGUGGCUGCUUUAAGACUGGAAAGAUCAAGGCCACCAGCCUAAAAAUUACUUUUCUUGUUCAUGUGGCUCAAUGCCUGAAAUGCCUCCAUCUGUGAGUAUCUCUGUUUAAAGUCCUAUGUGCUGAAGGAUAGAAUGACCAAAAGAAAGGGCAUUGAACUAAAUGUUGGGAGCCCUGCACUCAGAGGCCUGGCUGUGCUUUGGAGCAGCCACAACUUCUCUUUGAUCCUCUGUGUCUCUGCUUUUUGUGUUUAUGGUAAGGCUCCCAUGUGUCUGUGUGAGGGGUUGCUACAGACACUGAUGUCAGGGUUUGAUUUCAGAGUUUGGCAAAUGGGGUCUCUGUCCUAUCUGCCUUUGUGUCACCUGGAGUCCAGCACAGAACUGGCACACAGGAGGCAACCAAUAAAUAAAUGUUUAAUGACUUGAAAAAUGUCUACUAGUCACUCAUAUAACUCCUAGGAGGUAUGAGUCAUUAAAUCUAUAUUUUAGUAAAGUCAGUUUAAUAAUUACCUUCUUUUUUAGUCACUGAAGGAAUACAGAGAACAUGUAAAUGGGUUGAAUUUGUGUGAAUUGAACAACAGAAUUACUUAUUAGAAGAACUUCCAUUCCUAGAAAUUUCCCAAAUAUAAAAGCCCUAAUGAUAAUUCAUGUGUCAUAUAUAACCAGUUUUUUUCUGUUGUGAUUCAGUAAUCAACUGAUCCAGUUGCAGAUGGGAAUUUUGAGCUUUUGGUGUGGCUGAUGAGUUUUCUUCUUAAUUUUAGUUUUAUAAAAUUUAUGAGCUCUUACCAUCAACAUUUUUCUGAUUCCAUUUAUUUUUAUAAACUAGAGUAAAAUGCAGUAAAACAUGAAAGUAUUUGAAUGCUCACCUCCCUGUGGAAGCACAAAAGGCAGUGCUUCUGGUUUGGAAAGCCAACUGAACAGGUUAUAGUUGGGUGUGUUUGUUUGUGCACUGCAGUGUAGAAUUCUGAAAUUACAGUAGGAAAGGCAAGAUUUAGGAAUAAGUAUGCCUUGUAUGAAAAUUAGGCAUAUGGAAGUUGACUUUGUGCUUCCAGAGUAAUAGGUUCGGAAAGAGAAAAGAGGAAUAGGAGACUCACACAAAGUGGUGUGGAAUUGAGCCCAUGACCCUCAGCCAGCAGUAAGUGGCUUGUUGCCUAGCAAGAAGUGAAGAAUCCAGAUUUCCCUUUCAUCUACCUCUGAUAAGCACAAGUUUUUCCAGAGUUUCUGGUUAUGUAUUGAAGUCCUUCACUUGGUAAUUAUUUUCCUUUAGAUCUUCAAGACUCAUUUGGGCUCUCAAUCAGAAUAUAUAUAUAUAUAUAUAUAUAUAUAUAUAUAUAUAUAUAUAGUUAAUAUUUUUAAAAAUAUAUAUAUUAAGAUUUAUUAUUUAUUUGAAAGAGUUACAGAGAGAGAAGGAGAAGCAGAACGAGAGAGAGUGAGAGAGAGAGAGAGAUCAGUCUGCUAUCCUCUGGUUUACUCCCCAGAUGACUGCAACAGCUGGAACGGGGCCAGGCUGAAGCCAGGAACUAGGAGCUUCUUUCAAGUCUCCCACAUGAGUGGCUUGGGCCAUCUUCUGUUGUUUUUCCUAGGCUGUCAGCAGGGAGAUGGAUUGGAAAUGGAGCAGCCAGGACAUAUUGCAGGCAGUGGCUUCACCCACUGUGCCACAAUGCCAGCCCCAGAAAAUGUUAAUUCUUAAAUAACAGCUUCUAGAGUAUAUAAAUCCUAAGAUAAUUUCCUGUUUUACAAAACAAAUUUGAGUUCUGAUGAUACGAAAUUUUUACUUGCAUUAUGGCUGUACUCUUAAAUUUAGUUAGAAAACUAAAUGCACUAGAGGAAUUUCCUUUGAUAUACUUUGACUUUUAGAUGGAUGAUUUUCUCUUCCACCUUCCCCUUUCUUUAAACUUGGAAGAUGAACUAGCUGUGGAAUGCUUAGAGAAAGAGUAAUUUACUCCCAACUUCCUAGCCCCCAUAUUUUGACUGUUAACACACCACUUCACUAGACCCAUCAUUCGACCAGUAGCAAACACUAGCAUAUUUUUUGCCUUCUAAUUGAAUUAUAAUUUAGCUUUUCUGUCUUUAAAGCAAGAACAAAUGUAGAAAUGAGGUUUUUUUGGGGAUGCUUUUCAUUUGUAAUUUAAUUUCAUAGAACCUUGAGGUGUAGAGUAAAAAGAUGGCCCAACUGAUAUUGAUAAACACUUGAGUAGUUGUUUCUUGUUUUAUCAUAUUUUCUCUUGUUCUGUUUAAUUAACUCAAAAAUUCCCUGUAAGAAAUAAAGGAAACAUUUCUGAUUCAACUAAUGGUUAUUGAAACAAAGUUUGGUUAAGCAGAUUUUGAAUUUUGCCAGGAUAUUUUUCCAUAGGCAGUUACUACCUUAUGUUAAUAAGUAUUAAUCCUUGCAUAAAAGUCAUGAACUAGUUUACUAUUGGCAUUUGUAUUAUCUAUUGCUUUUCAAAACUAUCUACUAUCUACAGGCUUUGGGUCUUACUGGUCUUUAGAAUAUAUUUUGUAGAUAAGUGAUGAUUUUUUUUUUUUUAAUUUAUUUGAAAGGCAGAGUUACAGAAAAGGAGAGAGAGAUCUUCUAUCUGCUGGUUCACUCCCCAAAUGGUUGCAAUGGCCAGGCCCAAAACAGGAGCCUAGCACUCCAUCCAGGUCUCCCACAAGGGUGGCAGGGACCCAAGUACUUGGGCCAUCAUCUGCUAUUUUCCCAUGCACAUUAGCAGGGAGCUGAAUCAGAAGUGGCUCAGCCAGGACUUGAACCAGUACUCAAAUGGGAUGCCAACAUUGCAGGCAAGUGACUUAACCUGCUGUGCCACAACACUGGCUCCUACGUGAUGAUUUUUUAAAACUGCUCAGACUAGGUUUAAGUUUUAAAAAUAAAGCUUGAAAGAAUUCAGAUUUUCUCUUAGAAGGUGUUUGAAAAUCAUCAUAAAUAGCUUAUUAGCACUGUUGUAGAGAUGGUAAUACAAAAUAUGGUGGAGCUUUUGUUUUAAUGUGUUAUAUCAUGGAUUUAAAAAAAUCUAUUCCACCCUCAAUAUCCAUGUAUUCUCUUUAUAAUUUGUUAAUAUGGUCAUUUCAUGAAUUUUGAAUUUCUUCUGUAAUGAAAACAAUAUUUUUUCUUCACUUAAUUUUUGUCAUUUAAUAAUUGGCCUAUAAAACUGAAGUUUUUUUCUAAGUGGAGCCUUUGCUUUACAUUAUUGUCAAAUAUUUCUUGGAUUUAACCGUUUAGAUGUUUUUAUUGGUGUAGUUUAUUUCAAGUGUUUUAUAUUGUUUAUUGUCUUAUGUUUUAGUUACUUAUUUAUAUGAAAGGCAGAGUGACAAAGGGAGAGCCAGGGAUCUUCCAUCGUGAUUUACUUGCCAAAUGCCUGCAACAGCUGGAGCUGGGCUAGGUUGAACCCAGGAGCCUGGAAUUCCUUUCUUUCUUUGUUUUUAAGUCUAAGAGAUGACUACUAAUGCUAUGAUGUAACAAGGUAGCUGUUUUGUUUUGUUUUAAAGAUUUAUUUAUUUAUUUGAAAGGCAUAGUUAGAAAGAGGGAAUGACAAAGAGAGCUCUUCCAUCUGCUGAUUCACUCCCCCAAAUGGCCACAAUGGCCAGGGCUGAGGUGGGCCAGGUCUCAUACGUGGAUUCAGGGGCUCAAGUACUUAGGCCAUCUUCCACUGCUUUCCCAAGUGCAUGAGCAGGGAGCUGGAUCAUAAGUGGGAGCAGCCAGACUCAAACUGAUGCCCAUAUGGAAUGUAGGCACUUUAGGCAGCAGCCCUAGGAGCCUGGAAUUUCAUCUUAACUUCCCCAUGGGUGGCAGGUACCCAAGCAUUUUGACUAUUAUUGGUGAUAAUUCCUUCACAAGACAAAGAAGUAUUUUUCAUUUGGAAAUUUAAAUUUAAACCACAGAAACAAACUACUGACAACCAGUGAGUGAAUAUAUUAAUGGGUUUUUAAGGUUUUUUUUUUUUAAGGGCUAAAUCAUAACCCCCAAACCACCAUGUGUCUGAAAUACUUAUGGGGGACUGAAAUGUUAUGUGCAUUCUCUUGGAAUGUAUUAGACUUUUUUUAAGCCAAGAGUUUCUCUCAAAAAGUGCACUGUUGUCUGUAUUUGGCAUCUUGGAUCUUUGCUUAUAGUAAUCAGGAUAAUAGAGAACAUAUUUCUAUUGUAAAAUAAAUAUUUAUACUCUCAGAUAUUGAUUAGUUACAUGUUAGCUGUGGCAUCAUUUGAUAGGGACUGAUCACUAGCCCCAUAUCUUAUUUGUUUUGUUUGGAAUGUAAUUAAAUUACUAAAGUGAACUCAGAUACUAAUGCAGUCUUUUUGGAAGUCUGUUGACCCCUAAUGAAAUUUUCUGGUUUAUUGUUAGCUGCCUGGUGUUGGUUUUUUUUUCCCCCAUCUUCCUUCUUGUCCAUCCAGUAUUUUUUUUUUAUUAUUUAUUUUACUUAUUUGAAAGGUAGAGUCAGAGAGAGAGAGAGAGAGAGAGAGAGAUCGUUCAUCUAUUUGGUUCACUUCCCAAAUGGCUGCAACAGCUAGGGCAGUGCCAGGUGGAAACCAGCAGUCAGGAGCUUCUUCUGGCUCUCCUACAUGAGUUCAGGGCAUCUACUGCUUUCUCAAGCACAUUAGCAAGGAACUGGAUCGGAAGUGGAGCAACUGGGCCUUAAAAUAGUGCCCCUGUGGGAGUCUGAUGUUCCAGGUGGUGGCAGUUUAGUUCUUUUUUACACAUCAUAGUCCUAAAAAAAAAACAACCUGACUUUGGUGUUUGAAAUAUUUUCCAAUGAAUUUCUAUUUGGAGUAUUUUACAGCUGAGUGUAAAUGAUUAACAGAUAGUAUAAAGUAUGCUGAACUGAGUAUGAGAAAUACCACCUAUGCAUUGCUGUACUUAGUGUGCAGUAGAACAGGGUGAGAAUUGUGGACUUUGGAUACAGACAGUCAUGUCUUCAAAUGUGAUCUCUGCUGCAUAGUUGACAGGGAAAUGUGGGCAAGAGACCCAUUAACCUCUGUCGGUAAAAUCAGGACAAAAGGUAAAAAGUACCUUGCUCUGCAAAUUUUGGCUCUUUUGCGUGACUUUGAGUUCUUUUCCCAGUUGUGUGUGUGUGUAUGUGUGUGUGUGUGUUGACAGGCAGAGUGGACAGUGAGAGAGAGACAGAGAGAAAGGUCUUCCUUUUGCUGUUGGUUCACCCUCCAAUGGCCACCGCAGCUGGCGCGCUGUGCUGAUCCGAAGGCAGGAGCCAGGUGCUUCCUCCUGGUCUCCCAUGGGGUGCAGGGCCCCAGCACUUGGGCCAUCCUCCACUGCACUCCCUGGCCACAGCAGAGAGCUGGCCUGGAAGAGGGGCAACCGGGACAGAAUCCGGCGCCCUGACCGGGACUAGAACCCAGUGUGCCGGUGCCGCAAGGCAGAGGAUUAGCCUAGUGAGCCGCGGCGCCAGCCUCCCAGUUUUCAAAUGAAGUUAUCUGCUAUUAUAAAAUACUCUUUCUUAAUUUGUAUGAAAUGCUACAAAAUAGCUACUCCCUAUAUAAUUGGUCUUCCACAGUGCUUUGGUUCUCAGUUCAAUCACUUAUAAAAAUCCCCAUGUACUUUCUCUGUAAAGAGCUGUUCCCAGGGCUAAAUAGCUAGUCUGUUGACCAAACAGACCUCUGGUUUGAUUUCUCAUGUCUGAGCUAUUCUGUGUUCACAGCAAUUCCUCUCACCCCCUGCUGUAAAACCCUUUGGGUCCUGUCAGCUCAGUCCCAGCUGUAGCCUUGUAAAAGGCUAAUAGCAUCUGUUUUUCUGACAAGAACUACUGAGCAUGGUGUGAAAAGGGUGGUAAGUUUAGGUCAAAUUUUAUUUCACACACAGUGAAGUAUAUUUAUUGAAAAACAUUCAAAAAACCAUUUUGUGUUUGGGGAUAUUUUGAAAUUGUAUGCGGCUAAAUUAAGAAUCCUGAACUGCUUUCUUGAACACCGGUGUCCAUGAUGACUGGUUUUAUUUCCAGUGUGGGUAGCCCUUCAUUUAGUGCAGCAUGGUUUGAGAACUUAUUUCUAAGUAGUUGUUUGGAACCCUUACUUAGAAUAGUUCUUGAGUUUGGUUUACCUGUAUGUUAAUAUGUGUGGCAAAGUCACUUAGUUGUCAUGAAAUUUUUAAAAAGUUCAUGAAAUUAUAGUGAGACAUCCUUAUAAGAAAUAUUAAAGAAGUACUUUUACUGCCCUUGGAAAAAGAUAAAAUGUUUGCUUUCCCUUUUCUUUAAGAAAUAAGUAAUUGUAUAUUUUGUUUUUAUAGAAAUAAUAAGCUUUUUCUUCAACUGUGUCCUUUUGGGGAGGAUAGGAAUUGAGCUGUUGGAGUAUUUUGUCUUAUUGUGUAUAACAGAUAAUGUCAAAAACAUUUCUGUGUAUUUCUUAUUUUUCUAUUUUCCAGAUGUCCAGUGAUAUUAUCAGUUUUAAUUAGUUUUUUAUAUGUUAUGUUUUUUGAUAUGUGCAUUUGAUUUGGAAGUAUUAUAAUCAAACAAUGUUGAUUUUUUUUUUCCUUUUUCUCAUCUUCUGAUCAGGAUUUCUGGCAGGUACCGACUCAAUAGCAUGUGCUUUAAAUUAAUUAAUGCGCCAAGAUUCAUAGCAGUGCUUCAGGGACAAAAGUUCAGUGCAUGCUCAUGUCCUUCCCAUGCUCCCUUAGAGUGAUUCAGUUCCUGUCACUUUAAAUUAACAUAUUUUAUCUUUAAUAUGACAAUUCAUCCACUACACAAGUCCUUCAGAAUAUAGUACCCAGCGUAAUUUAAAAGGAAGUGUUAAUGUUAGGUGUUAAGCAAAAGGUCGAGAAACUUUGUUUUGAUCGCUAUAUUGUAUAAAGGAUUAGUUGGGUCCUUUACAUAGCCUUAUUUGGAGUGAUGAAACGACAGUAAAUUCAUGUUAAGAAUUAGUAGAUUUAUUUUUUUGAAACUUCUUAUAUAAUAAGUACAGAGAAGCAGUUGCUUAGUUGCACUUUGCUCAGUAAAAUAGCCUUAGGGAAACAGAUGGAAUAUUUAGAAAAAUUUCAUUACUUUGUUCAUUUAAGCUAAUCAACAACUUUGACUUGGAAAAACAAGCAAACACUUGGAAAAAACCAUGAAAAGAAUAUGUAGCUGUAAGCUAACAACAGAGACUUUCAAGGAUACUCCUAAGAAAGUACUUUUGAAUUGAUCUUCAAAGGUUUAGACUCUUUAAUUGUAAUUUAUAAAUUAUUACAGUUCCUUUUCUUAAAAAAUUACUCAUUUCUGAUGGUUGGAAGUCUUAAUACAAAUGUAAAUUUCAUAGAACUAAAAAAGUCUAGUUUAAAAUAGUUAAUGAUAUAAUUAAGACCCCUUUAUUUUCAUGGUAUGUUUUUUCUGUAUUCCUUUGUUUUUAAAAUGGAAUGUAUUACUGGUAGUCCUCUUACCAACCCAAAGACCAGUCAUGCUGUUGUUGGUGUAUAGGUUCUCAUCCCAAGUAGCUUUGCCUUUAACUGCAUUCUGAAACAAGCUAAGAAAUAUUUUUAACAUUACAUCAGAAUAAUUUGUUGGUGAUGCCAUUGCCAAUGUUUCUAGUUCUAGGGAGUCUGUUUUAAAGUAGCUGUGACACAUGCAGACAGGAUGCUAAGAGUCAGUCAGAUGAGAUGGAAACACCUGUGCUUGAGAGCUUCCAGUUCUGCAGUUAUGAUAGGACAUUUUGUAGGAGGAAACUAAAGACUGUUUUCUAAAUAAUUGUGUGGUCAAAAUGCCUUCAAAUAGAUGUCCUUACCAGAGAGUUAGGAAUAGAAAAGAAAAGCAGGAAUGGCUAAGUUCUUGGAAGUUUCUGGAAUCUACAGCAUUAAGUGGUCAACAACAGGUGACAAAAUAUCAUCAGUUUAUACUUUCACUACCUAAACAUAAUACCCUUAAUUGAUCAAGGAUUCAGAAUCAAGUUUUACAGUGCUUGCUUUGGCAAUGCAUAUACUAAAAUUGCAACAAUACAGAUAAGAUUAGCAUGUCCCUGUGCAAGAAUAAAACACAAGUUUGUGAAGCAUUCCAUAUUUUUAUAUGAGCAACCCAUUCCUGCACCUAUUACAGUUAUUGGGAGCAGUUAAUAAAAAGUAAUGGAGAGCAGUAUACAGAGAUGGUUUCAUGAAAUUUUAAUGUUUGAGAUACAUUUUUUAAAAAAACUUUUUAUAUUGAAAGUAAUAAGUGUUUUCUUAGACUAGAUAGUGAGGGAAAUUGUUUAUCUGUAUUGCUGGUUUUGGUAAACUAGUGUGAAUCUUUUAAGCUUGCAGAGGUCAUGAGCAGUUCCUUUACAGCAGAGGCCUUUCUUGCUUGCUUCCUGCAGGGUUUUGUUCUUUGCAUGCUCGGGUCUUGUUGCCUGUGGGAAGGCUGGAAUAAUUUUGUUUUCCUGGUAGCAUAGACUGCUGUUCUUCAGAUGCAACUUAGUAAUAUGUUAAGUACUUACCGUAUUUCUGUGAGGAGUAUCCAUAAUGUCUCUUUCCAGUCUCUUGUGUUCUGCCAUUACUAAAGUUUGUUGAUUCAACUAAUUCGUGUGUUUGGUUACCCAAGUCAAGAAAAGAUCAGAGAAUGCAGUUACCGUGCUCUAAAGGGGAGUGUUAUUUAUUUACUCGGUUGUCCCAAAUACUCAGACACCUGUUAAGAUUUCUUUAAGUGCGUUUUAUUUUCUGUUUUGCUGUGUUUGAAUUUGGGAUCAAUCGAACACAUUUGAUUUAUCAUUGUUGAUUUGAAAACAUGAACAUGACUAAUCAUUGCAUUUCUGACACUUUCAUGUUUAGUUUUUCACUGUAAAACAAGAUUCGAAAUUCACUUUGACAUAAGGCUUUUUUCCAGACUAACUGGAGUUCCAUAAAAGCUACUCAAAACAAAUUAUUUCUCCUUCAUUCUUGUAAAACAGGUUCUCAACUUAGCUUAAACAUCUGCUGAUGGUCUUUGGUGGUAGAGAAUGGGUGAGGAUAGUUCUCAGUUUGUGUAUUUGUCUUGAACUUCCUUUGGUUUCAAAAAUUUAUGCUGGAAUAAAAAUGCUCUGCAAAUACAGAUUUAUGUGGCAUUAAUUAGAAGAGUGUAAAGAACAUUACAUUCUUGAAAUGAUACACAUUUGGAGAAUAAUUAAAAUAGGAAUUUGGAUAAGUAACGGUAUAAAAAGAAGUAUACUCAGAUCACUGGCUCAGUCUUUCCCCUUCAAGUUAAUUUAGCUGGUAUAAGGUUAGCUCCAAGUUCUUUUCCACAUUAGCUAAGUUGUGCUUCAAAAAUAUCAAGUCCUUGCAAACAUUUUCAUAAAUUGUAAACAGUAGACACAGGGUUUGCUCCUGAGCAUUUGCUACAACCCAGCAAGUAGCACUUCAUGGCGUGGGGGCUCUGAAGUCAGCCCUUGGCCUUUCCUGUCACUUAACAAUGCUGUCGCCUUGGGCUGUGUAUCUAACCUGAGUCUUUUCCAUCUGUAAAAUGCAGAUAGUAGUAUCCCUACCUGGUAGAGUAGAGAAAAGUCUAGUGUUAAUGUGCCUGGCACAGUAACUUGCAUAGGAUAUGCAAAGAAACAUUUUCAAAUUCUUGAUAUGUCUUUAAUGAUCAUUGUUGGGUACCAGGGGAUACCUAUAAAUGUUUGGUUUCAAAAUCGAUUCAAAGAUUCUUCAUUUGAAGUAUUUCCUGGGAGGUGAUAGCUACCAGAGCAGUUAAAUCAAGGGUGUGAGCAGCAACUUUUUCUGAAACAUUUUUAUGAUUAGUUUUUUUCAGUUGGGAUAUGAAAUUACUAUAUUCAGUGUGACUUAUUUUUCAAACUUUGUACUUGAGAUUGCUUUUAGCAUUAAGUGGCAGGGAAGGCUUCCAUACUCCAUGUCCUAUUGCUGAGCUCAGUACUGUUCUUUUUAACACCGAUACAGUUGAGUGGCCAGACUUCAGUAUUCAUUGCUUGGAUUUCGGUAGCAAAUGACCAAAAAUGAUAAAACAGUGAUUCUCCCACCUAGAGGUGAUUAAAGCAAGAGCAUAGUCAUAAUGUGAUAGACAAGUAGAGUUGAUAAUUUUCUCCAUCUAGAAUUUUGAUACUAUUUCGUCAGAUACUAAGGGUUAAAAGAAAAUCAUCUACUAGAGUUGUGUCAUUUCCUCAAAGUCAAUGUCAUUCCAGUAAAUUUCUUUGAAUUUUUGUGAUUGAUUUAAUCAAAUCAUCUGCCACUGUUGUUUUUUAAACAUCUUCAUUUGUGUCAUUUCCUCUAAAAUCAUUAUGAAAUAAGAAAACAUGGGCAUUCUAGGUAUUUGGAAUUACUCUCAGAGUUAAGGUGGAUAGAAUUGGGACUGAAAAGAGAAUUGCUUUCUGGCAGAGUGAAGUGGACAGUAUCUUAAGCAUUCACCUUCCACAGUUUGUUGCACAGUAACUUAUGUUUGUUUGCAAUAUUACCUUCAAAAAGCUUAGAAGAAAAUGUGAGUUGGAAGGGGAAGUCAUAAACUACUCUAAUUAGAAACAUCUCAAUUUAAUUUUUAUCUGACAUACUUCCAAAUUCUACCUUUCUACAGCUUCAGAUAUUGUGUGGGGAAGAAGAAUAACAUGUGCAUUUUAACUGUGCAACAGUCUCUGUUUGAUUGGGAGUUUUGUGAUUGUUUAAGAUUGGUAUCUUACCAAAGCUUUGGCAUCUGUCUACGCGCCAAGUACAUGACGAGAUGUGAGCAUUAAUUGCAUGGGAAAACCGCUGAAUUUUCUUUCUCUUUCUAACACUCCCUUCCUCCUUGCCCUGACCCCAACCUUGGGUGGAAAUACUAUUUGUCAUUUGGAAAUGGUAUCCCAAAGUUACAUUCUCUGGAAGAUGCAUAAUUUAUCAUUAUUUUGCUUUUGAAAUAACAACCUCAAAUAUUAUUCAAGGUAUUUAGAAAUAAAGCCUUUGGGAUGUAUUUCAGCACUACAAAGAAAUGUUAAUAUUAAAAUAAGAUUUCCACUUCUUUAAUGAUGACAUCUUAAAUAGUAAAGCUGAAUUCUUUAUCAGAUUUUAUCUAUAUCAGAGAUGUUUUCAGUUGCUGUAUGAUAUGUAGUAUGUAUUUUGCAUAGUCCAUUGAUUUCUGUUAGCUAGAAGUAUUUUAUUUUGAACUUUACAACUUGAAAAGUGGGUCUUAAUUAGAAGAAAUAAUGAUAUUAAAUUCCUAGAUAAAAUUUUUCUCCUUAGGUUUAUCUAGUUGAGUCUCACAAGGCAAAAGUGUUGGCUCUGUUUUGAUCAAUGCUGUAACUAAUUAGGAUUCACUGUUUGAGCAUACUGGGUGCCAAGAGUUGAGUUAUAAAUUGGAGAAGUCUCCCAGAGCUUCUAAUGGCAUUUGCCAUUUUAAAAGUUUACAUGAUUGGUCAGAAACCAAAGUUAGCACAAAGCUAUCUGGUAAAACACUGCUAAUUUUUGACUCAUUUUGAAGUAGAAUGAUUAAAUAGGGUAUGAUAAUAAGUUUACUUGGAAGUCUUUCUGCUUAAUCUAAAAAAUAAAAGGGUUAAUAAUAUGUUAUCAUUGAGAUUACUACCAACCCAUUAUAAGGGUAUUUAUUUGCCUUUACUUGAGGUUAGUAAUUUGAAUACCUUAGCGAUGUUAAUUCUAUAGCUAAGUUUUAAAUUUUGAUAUAAGUAAGACUACAUCAUGUAAGUGAAUAAUGAAAUGAUUUUAGAUAAACAGUUCAUUUAAGUCAAUAAGCUCAUCACUUUGAAAUAUUUUGUGUAAUUUUGUUCUCUAAAAGAGGAUAACAUUUAUCCCUGCGUUGACCAGAAAUGCUGUCCUAAUAAUGUAAUUUGCAUUCUGCUUUCACACCCUUAAUUUCAGAAAUUCAGGUGUUUGUAAUAGAGUUUGAUAUGUGACUUCUAAGCUGCACAAAACAGCAUAAUAUCCUAUAAGGUAUCUGUAGUUACAGUCUCCAAAUAGUUCUAUUUGGAUAGCUUUCAGCAUAUAUACUGAAGUACUGUUAGAGUCUUACCUCAAGAUGAAACAAGUUUUCAUAGAUCCCUUACUAAUUUUUUUAACUGAACUGAUACAUUACCUAAUCUUACAGCAUAUACUCCUAACAAGAGAAUUGAAAUGUAUUCUAUUUCUUUGACUUUAUAUAAAAAUAUUUCUUAUAAUUUAUUGUAUGAAAUAAUUAUAUAUAGUGGUUAUUAUAUUAUUUAUUAUGUUUUAUAUUUAUUUUGAAUUUACUGCUUAUAUUGAGUUAAAUAGAAAUCUCCCUUCAAUUUUCUUAGUAAAAAAAUACAUAUUGGUAUAAAUCUUAAUUAAUAACAAAAAUGUAAAUAACCACCUCUGGAGCAGUGAGAGAAAAUGAACAUUACUACCUCUGAUAAGGAAAAUUGUUUGCCUUGGAUGCCUCCUUGUAGCUCCUGAAGUGUAUGCAUCCUGUUUGCUUAGAAGAGGAAAAAAAAAGCCUUGAAACUUAAUCAGAGAUUAAAUAGAAUCCAAAAGGUUAAGUAAAGUAACAUUUUACUUGACACUAAUAUGAAUUUUAGAAUAAGAAAAAGUAAGGAAAAACCUUAUCUGUACUGUAUUUCCUUCCAUCUUGAUUUUUCAAUUUUCCCAUACAUUUGGGGGCUUUUUAUCUGAUUUUCACAGCUUCCCUCUGUGCCAUAGCUAGUUCAUUUGAGGAUAACAUGUAUGGAAGAACCAGAUUUUUUAUUUAAAAAGACACAAAUUCUAAGCUGGUUUUCAGUAACUCCCAUUUCUUCCCAAGUUUCCACGUUUAUUUGGUGCUCCUCGUAGCUUCAGGUAAAUUGAAAUACCAAAUUUGAUGAUUUUAUGAUAAUUAAUGCCUUGCAUUUUCUAAGAAUCUUUUUGGCAUUUUGGAUCCUAGGACAAAUCCACUUAAAAUUCUUAAGUUGAUAAGUAGGUGUGUAAUCCUAAAAUGAGCCAUUCUUCAACAAGUGGAUGCUUCCGGAAAUGUUCAUAGAAGUACUUACUCUCCUUUCCCCUUGCACUCUGACUCCAGGGUCAUGAAGGGACCAUGUAGACCUUUUCUAAAGACUUAGGUUAUAUUACACAGCAUAUCACAACACACAAGUCAUUUUUAAGCCCUCUUUAAAUAUAUUUCUUUUUCAUUUUUAAAGAUCUUUGGCAAAAUACACAUAUUCUCUUUUUGCUCCCUUUCUGGUCCGCGCACAUAUGCACACACACACACACACACACGUACCUUUCUCUUUCCUCGUUUUUUUCAACCCCUCUCUUGAUAUGUCUCCUUCUCUUUUUUGUUUACCUUUCAAGAGCCCUUGUCUCUUCUGUGUGUUUUCAUCCAGGUAUGUUCUUCAGCUUUUUCUUAUACAGAGCAGUUUGGCCCUCUUGAUCUUUUCUACUCCCUAUCACUACUCCCUACAGCAGAGGUCUCACCUACGGCUACGCAAACAUCUCUCCUCUAAGGAACACAGGGUCGCAAGCCGUGACCAUACCUGAUUUAUCUAUUGAAGUUUUUUAAAAAGAUGUACUUACUAAUAUGAAAGGUAGAGUUAGAGAGACAGAAACAUCUUCCAUACACUCAUUCACCCCCCAGUAACUGCAGCUUGGGCAGGGCCAGGCCAAAGCCAGGAGCUUCAUCCUAAUCUCCCACGUGAGUGGCAGGGGCCCAAGUACUUGGUCCAUCUUCCGCUGCUUUCUCAGGCUCGCUCCUUAGUAGGGAGGCAGACCGGAAGAUGAGGGGCUGGGUCUUGAACCAGUGCUCACAUGGCAUGCUGGCGUCCCAGGCCACUGCUUAACCUGCUGCACCGUGAUUCUGGCUCCCAAUUCAUUGCUGAGAAUCUCUAUGCUAUUGAAAACCCACUUACUUUAUUAUUAUCAUUAUUAUUUCUAUAGAGUUUAUAAUUCUCAUAGUGGUAACAUGGCCAGGCCUAAACCAUGACCCCACAUGCAUCAGGUACUCAGUUUCUCAAGCUGCCUUUUUAACCGUUUAAAUGAUUCCCUGUUUAUUUUCCCUUGAAAAACAGUUAUAUACUCCUUUAGGAAUUAGAAGAUCUCCAAAAUGAAAAUAGACUAAUAGCAGAAAAUACCAUAAAAGAAUAAUUUAUACCUAUAAAGUCAAGUUUUAAUAAAGUUAACAAAAUAAUUCAGUGGGAAAAGAAAGUGUUCUCAACAAUUGGUUGAGAAACAAAUGUAUAUCUGUGCUUUUUGAAAUGAACCCCUCACCCUCUACCUCACCAUACACAGAACUCUCUUGAAAUGGCUCAUAGACCUAAGUGUCAAAUCUGUAACUAUAAGACUUUUAAAAGAAAAUAUAGGAGAAUACUUUUAUGGACUGGAAAGGGAACAAAAUUUGAUGGAUAGCAUAUGAAAAUAUUAACCAUAAAAGAAAGGUUUGAGGAAGUUGAUUUCCUGAAAAUUGAAAACUUUUGAUUGUAAAAAAAAUACAAGUCACAUUCUGGCUUGUUACUUGCUAAGUAACAAAUAAAUCCAAAGCUUAGUACCUUAAAACAGUAAUAAUUAUUUUUCAUGCUGUCUGUGACUCAAGAAUUUGGGAGCAGUUUGGCUAGAUAGUUCAGAUUCAGGUGAGAACAAGCAGCGACAACCAAAAUGCUUGGGGAGGAAGAGGCUAGUCAGAAUGACACGUGGGAGAGCAGGUCCUUCAAGUACUCCGCCAGGUACUGGGACAUCCUGAGGGUCAGCGCUCAAUGAGUACUCAGAAGAAACCUCAGAUGGCUCUAAUGAGCUUUCUUGUCUGGCUCGUUUAGGCCCCAGCCAUUCUGCUAAGACCUUGAGAGUAAAUAUUAUAUCCAGGCAUUUAAGGAAAUCUCCAUUGCAAUACCAGUUGAAUCAUAGACUUGAGUUACCAUGUGUGACAAAGCACAGUCUUUACAAAAAGUAUUGGAAAUUAACUGACAAACAACUUCAACCCACAGUGAGUGCAACAACACACCUUAAAACAAGGGGGAGAAUUUCAUUUCCAUAGUUUCCACAUUAUUAUGUACAUCAUGCUGCAUUUUCAAUAAGAAAUUAUACUUGCAUUGAAAUAAUAAAACAUGGCCCACUCACAAAGAAAAAGAAAAAUCAGAAUUAUUCUGGAGAAAGCAUAGACAUUAUACUUCCUACUUAAAGACUUAAAAUCAGCCAUGGUAGUCAAAUAGUUAAAAGAAACAAGGAGAAUGAUGUAUGAAGUGGAAGAGGUUAUCACAGAGAAACAAAAUAUAGAAAGUCACCAGAUAGAAACUGUGGAACUGUAAACUAUAAUAGCUGAAGUGAAAAUUUCACUAGAGGAGUUUUCUGAGCAGAUUUAAAUAGGCAGAACAAAGAAUCAGUGAACUUGAUGUUAUCUAGCCUGAGGCAGAGAGAAAAAAGAAUGAAGAAAAGUGAGUACAGCUUAAGUAGCUUAAACUUUGAAAAGGUCACAGUGGUAAAUUUUAUAGUCUUUGCAUUAUAUAACUUUUAAAAAAUAUAUUAAUAAAGUAUGUGCUGGCAUAUGUGCAACAAUUAACUGAAAAUAAACCAGUGGCUUAAGAAUAAGAGCUAAAACUAUAGAAUUCUUAGAAAAAUACUGAUAAAUCUUUGUGAGCUUGGCUUUGCUAAUGGAGUUUAAGGUACAACAUCAAAUAUAUAAGCAAUGAAAAAAAUUUGAUAAAUUGGGUUUCACCAACAUUUAUGUAUUUUAUGAGUCACAGGACAUGACCAAAUUAAAAAACAACACUAGUUUGUGAGAAAAUAUUUGAAAGUUGUAUAUGUGAUAAGGGUCUAGUAUCCAAAAUAAAUAUGAAAUUCUCAUGAGUCAACAACAAAAUGAUGCAUAACUUAUUAAAAAAUGGGCAAAGGACUUAAAUAGACCUUUCUCUAAAGAAGAUACUGAGAUGGCCAACAAGCAUAUGAGAAGAUACUCAACAUCAUUAGGCACUAGGGAAAUAGGAAUCCAAACCACAAUAAGAAAUCAUUUUACACUCACAGAAUGGUUAAAGUGAAACAAACAAAAAGCGUUGAGGAUGUGGAGAAAUUGUAACCCUCUUACACUGCGGAUGAGAAUGCAAAUGGUGCAGCCACUGUGGAAAACAGUUUGGCCAUUCCUCAAAAACUUAAGCAGCUGCCAUGUGACCCCGCAGUCCAAAGGAGUGACAACAUCCACUUGUACAUGAAUGUGUGUAUUAGUCGUCCUAUGCAAAUAGCCAAAAGGUAGAAAUAACCCAAAUAUUAAGGCAUAGUAUAUAAACAAUGGGUAGCAUUUGGCAGUAGAAAGGAAUUAGUAUUGAUUCAUGUUGCAGCAUGGGUAAACCUAGAAAACAUGUUUAGUGAGAGAAGUCAAUUGAAAGGCCCACAUACUGUGUUAAUAAAUGGUUAACAUGGUGAAUUUUAUCACACUCAUAAAUGAGAAACCUAAAAAGGAAGAAAGAAGAACAGAGAAAUUCUGUUCUGGUUUCAUGGAGACUCAAGUCACGUAACAACUAGCUGCAGUUUGUUAUUGUGGAUUAUAGCCUAGACCAAGGGAAAUACUUAGAAAAGAAAUUAUUGACUAAAUUUGAUAAUGGGUUGAGUUAGAGAAUAGUAUGCUUAUCAAUAUUAAUAUUAAAAUUCCUGUUUUUAUUAAAUUUCUCCCAAAAUACUACAUUUUCAUUUCUAUAGCAGCCUCUGCAUGAGUUUUUAACGUAAUUAUUGUUAGUUACUCAACUUCUAUACAUGUUUGUUUCGCAGGCUAAUAAUGGUAUAUUAUUCACAUACUUCACUUUUGCAGUAUCUUAGGUAAUAUAAAAAUGUAACUGUUUCUUAUAUUUUGAGAUAUUUAAAUACUAAUUUAACUUCCUAGUGAAUAGCUUUACUGUUCUGGUUCUUAUUCAAUAGUUUUUUUAGUCUGGUAUUUAUAUUAGCUCUCUUGGUAGAAGAUCACAUAUGGUGUUAAGAUGCAGUCUUAGAGCAUAGUAGACAACAUGCUCAUUUUUGCUGUCAGCUCAAAGAAGUAAUCUCCAAAUGCUGUCAAGGGGGACCAUAUUUCCUGUCAGCCAUAAAUGAAGCCAGAGAAGCCCUUUCAUACAAGUACAAGCUGCCGUCACAACCUAGUACAGCUAUAUUGGCAUUCAGCUGUGGGUUUUUACCUGUCUGUGGUUACUAUAUUUUUAUGAAAAAGCAUAUUACUAGCAGAGGCCAUUUUGAAUGGGUUUCACAAGAUUAUGCAAACUGACUUCAUGAUGAUUCACAUGGUCCUUGUGUUUUCAAUUGGUUAACCAGUUUUCUUUCCUUUGUGAUGUAUGAUGGGAUCUCCACUAGACAGAG
Molecule: non-coding RNA, 17246 nt
Organism: Oryctolagus cuniculus (rabbit)
Lineage: Eukaryota; Metazoa; Chordata; Mammalia; Lagomorpha; Leporidae
Source: RefSeq, a predicted model, not a curated record